Long non-coding RNA from Ruditapes philippinarum (Manila clam), 649 nucleotides. RefSeq lists it as uncharacterized. The record is from RefSeq and is a predicted model, not a curated record. NCBI's taxonomy places the organism in Eukaryota, Metazoa, Mollusca, Bivalvia, Venerida, Veneridae. The transcript is spliced from 3 exons.
UAGUGUGUUUAACUUGCUGGGGAAAUCUCAUUUUUAUUCCACUCUGUUAUUCCAAUUCUAGAUAUGAUUAUACCGUUAAUUUUCAUAAAAUACCUAAGGAUGUGAGUUUAAUAAAGGAAAGGAUUGUGAAAAUAAGAUGGAUGAAAGAACAAUUCAAGAUCAAUAUUUUGCAAUAGUUGCUCGUUUUGAAGCAUUUCACACAAGAAUUACAAUCAUGGACAUAAAUUCAUAUAUGUCUGAAGAGAAUAGAUGUACCCUGUAGAUGGUUCGACUAGAGUAAUAAUGAGCAGACCAGUAAGAUGAACACUAAAGAAGAAGAUUUCAUUACCAGAUGAAAGGUUCCAUUGGUAACUGUCAUGAACACAAAUUGACAACUGGUAUUUGAAUCGCCUUAAAUUGUAAUAUCUCUUCAUGGCAGUGGCGUAACAGAUGAAAAAGAAACUAUCAAACAUUUUAAAGAAGAAUUACAGAAAACCUAGGAAGAAAACAAACAGUGAUAUUAAACGUUUGAUACAAACAAAUUUUCAAAUGUUGACAGUUGUAUAUUUUGUAAUGUUAUACAGGAUUUCCAACAAAAUUUACUAUAUAUUCAUCACAGUUUUCAAUGUGUAAAACAUCAGCAAAAACAUUAAGAGCGUUUAUUAUGAUG